RNAcentral lists this ribosomal RNA (468 nucleotides) under uncultured bacterium. RNAcentral's name for it is "partial 16S ribosomal RNA". It matches the Rfam family "Bacterial small subunit ribosomal RNA", at positions 28 to 507 of the family's 1533-position model. The record is from RNAcentral.
GAUGAACGCUGGCGGCGUGCUUAACACAUGCAAGUCGAACGGAAAGGCCCUGCUUUUGUGGGGUGCUCGAGUGGCGAACGGGUGAGUAACACGUGAGUAAACUGCCCUUGACUUUGGGAUAACUUCAGGAAAAUGGGGCUCAUACCGGAUAGGAGCUACUGCUGCAUGGUGGGGGUUGGAAAGUUUCGGCGGUUGGGGCUGGACUCGCGGCUUAUCAGCUUGUUGGUGGGGUAGUGGAUUACCAAGGCUUUGACGGGUAGCCGGCCUGAGAGGGUGACCGGCGACAUUGGUACUACGAUACGGACCAGACUCCUACGGGAGGCAGCAGUGGGGAAUAUGGCAGAGUGGGCGGACGCCUGAGGCAGCAACGCCGCGUGCGUAAUGCCGGCCUUCUGGUUGUAAACCGCUUUGUCCGGUGACGAAGCGUGAUUGACGGUAAUGGGUAAGAAAGCACCGGCUAACUACGUG